UCGAUUUUACGUCACGCGAGUCGAAAGGAAGAAAAGGAAGAAAAGGAAUCCGUCUGUGUCCCAGAAUUAGAUGGUGGUGGGGAUAGGAAGCAAACAACGUGUUGGCAAGAAACAGAGAAAGAAUGAGAGAACGAGGGGAAAAGAAAGAGAGAGAGAGAAAAGAGUAUACGGUGGUUCGCGAAUAAGCGACAAAAGGAUCGUGCCUCUCACAGACGGAUUACGUCAUUUCCCAAUCUGUCUAACGUCUGGUAUUGCUUUCGUCUAGCGCUCGUCUAGCGCUUGUCUAGCCAAUAAAGGUCUCGACACUUCUAACGUACGCGGCAUACAAUAGACGAAGAAAACCAGUAUUUUCGUGCGAUGAAAAGAGAAGGAGAAAAAGAGAUAGGUAUAGAGACCGUGAACGACGUAAGUACUAAGGAAAGAGAGAGUGAGAGAGAAAGAGAACGAAUAAGCGCGUAAGAGAAACUAACGGACGCGCGAGUACCUUCUGUAACAUAAGCGUUGCACGUGAACUUGCUGCACCUUGAGAAGAGAGUGCGAGGGAGAGAGGGAAAGAGGGUGUACGCGCAUGCACACGUAUCAGAAGAGAGCACAUGCACGUCAUUCGUAAGCUCUCGCGGCGCGUAAGCUCUCGUGCAUUCGUCACCGGCUGCUACAUCACCACCACUCGGUACGAUUCGACGAUUCUCUCUUUCAUUCGGAGCAUAGCGAGACCAAACGGCAUGAACUAACAAAUUCGUUUGUUACCACCCGGCCCGUAGUCUUGCUCCUGGCCGGCCGGGGCUGCCUGGGAUAGAAGAGCAACGCCGCAAAAUGGAUAGAGCAAGAUCGAAAUGUUAUUAAUGCUACGCCGCACGGUCGAGAGAUAGGAAUCGGCGAAAAGUACGAGAAGGACUCGUUGUUCCGUUCCCAAACUUUUGUGGGAGAGUGCAAGGCGGCAGGAUGCAACGAAACAAUCGUUCGUCAGGAAGAGUGGAAAAAGUCAGAGCGGAUUCACGAAGCCGUGACCGGACCAAAACCCGGGCCAAGCCAAAAUUCUUAGCUCGAGAGAAUUCACGGGAUGAACGAAACUGAUGAAGAGCGAAAAAGAAAGAAGAGUUCGAGAAGAAGAAGAAUAAGCAGAGAGCGGGACUUUGCCGCGAUGUUGUGUAGUACGAUGGCAUCGUAUUGCAUCCACGAGUCGCUAAAGGUUCUCUCAUAAGUGCGAGGUUUGGGUACAACGAUCGUUUGAACAAAACCAAAAAAAAACUAACAAAACAAAAAAAGGAAGAAACUACCGUGUACUUUCGACGAUACGUGACGAGGGCAGCGACAAGAAGAUGGCUGCUCCGCCAUACUGAUGAGAGUGGGAAGAGGAAGGGUGUGAGGGGGGGGCCAAAAAUUGGAGAUCGCUACUUUAGCAGAAGAGAAGAGAGAGAGA
Molecule: long non-coding RNA, 1420 nt
Filed under: Polistes fuscatus (common paper wasp)
Lineage: Eukaryota; Metazoa; Arthropoda; Insecta; Hymenoptera; Vespidae
Description: uncharacterized LOC122520280
Source: RNAcentral